Drosophila obscura is the source of this 800-nucleotide RNA transcript. RefSeq lists it as uncharacterized. Lineage: Eukaryota; Metazoa; Arthropoda; Insecta; Diptera; Drosophilidae. The transcript is spliced from 5 exons. The record is from RefSeq and is a predicted model, not a curated record.
CCCCGGCUGUAGUAGGCCAGGGCAAUUAUCUCUAAAUACCAACGAAAAUGAUCUAUGUGGAUGAAUGUUGCUGUUGCUUGGACCUCAAGUGCGGCUGCAUCUUGAUAGCCCUCAUUGAAGUGCUCAUACGGGGAAUAGAUCGCUUUUUUGUGGACUACGAUACCCUACAGGGCUAUGCCUCGCUCAUUCUGAGUGGCGUCUAUGUGCUAAGCUGCAUCGUGCUCCUGCUCGGUGCCGUGAUGUGCUGGCGUUCGUUUCUACUACCCUAUCUCUUGAUAGCCAUUAUACGUUGGUGCGCCCUGAUCGGCGAGAGCUUCUACAUUUAUCUAUACACCGAAGGCAUCGUCUAUGAGUAUUUAUAUUUCGACAUGUUCCAAGCCAUUUUAGGCUUGUACUUCUGGCUGGUGGUCUACUCUUUCUAUGAUCGAUUGACACAGGCAUCAAAGACAUAGAACCCAAUUCGUUUUCAACUCUGUUGAAUCAAAGAUAGCGCUCUGAAUGCGUUAAAUAUAUUCAAGUUUUCAAGGCCUUAGUGCGUCUGUCACAGAUUUCUGUUGCCUGAGGCUUUCUCUGAUUGAAUCCACUCGCAUUUUGUUUAUCGUUCUCUUAAUGGAAUAAUUGAUGGCCCCCUCCACUCCACUCCCACUCAUAUUUACGUAUAUGGCUUGCAAUGAAUUAAUUUCGCUAAAAAUAACAAUUAUGAAUAUUAAUCCAGACCAGACCCAGACCCAGACCCAGACCUAUCCCAACUCCUUUUUUUUCUGCUCUUUAACGUUUACAACCAACCGUAUUUAAUGGCA